CCAUCGCCCCCCCUGAGAAUUUGGCGAAAGCGUGUAAAAAAUAUUUAGCUCUCUCUUACUUUAUAUUAUAAAAUAAAUUCCAUAUUAAUCAUAAUCGCUCACGAGAUAUGCCAGUUUAAAUGUAUUUUUUCUCAAUCCCUUAUCCCUUCUGACUGAGACGCAUAUGUUUGGAUGGAACCGCAUCGUUUUCGGUGCGCAUGCCGCAUGCACUGAUGAUGUCCGGUCUAGGCUUAUCCAGUUGAGAAAUGAAAUAGGUGGGCUGAACGGCCGAUCUGAUACGUCUAGUAGUACGGUAGUGCUCACAAUUUAUAUACUGUUAUUCAUAGAACUUAUAUUAACGUGUUAAAAGUGUUUUUUGUGCAACGUCACUCUCAAACGUGUGAAGACCUGGAUAAGGAAUACGAUGUCGAACAAUCGUCUAAGUGGGCUAUGCCUGUUAUCUGUACACAGAAGAAAAAUAAAAGAAAAUAUAGAAAACUUCAUGCAGAAAGUAAUUGAUUUAUUUGCGAUGGACACCAGAAGAAUUCAAUUAUUAUUUAAGUAACAUUUUACUGACACUAACCGUGUUGCGUUUUAAACAGCAAAACAAUUUUUCUUGUA
This 600-nucleotide long non-coding RNA is filed under the name Diabrotica virgifera virgifera (western corn rootworm). RNAcentral describes it as "uncharacterized LOC126881254". The record is from RNAcentral. Lineage: Eukaryota; Metazoa; Arthropoda; Insecta; Coleoptera; Chrysomelidae.